RNAcentral lists this ribosomal RNA (344 nucleotides) under uncultured bacterium. RNAcentral describes it as "partial 16S ribosomal RNA". It matches the Rfam family "Bacterial small subunit ribosomal RNA", at positions 338 to 693 of the family's 1533-position model. The record is from RNAcentral.
CCUACGGGUGGCUGCAGUCGAGAAUCAUUCACAAUGGGGGAAACCCUGAUGGUGCGACGCCGCGUGGGGGAAUGAAGGUCUUCGGAUUGUAAACCCCUGUCAUGUGGGAGCAAAUUAAAAAGAUAGUACCACAAGAGGAAGUGACGGCUAACUCUGUGCCAGCAGCCGCGGUAAUACAGAGGUCUCAAGCGGUGUUCGGAAUCACUGGGCGUAAAGCGUGCGUAGGCUGUUUCGUAAAUCGUGUGUGAAAGGCGCGGGCUAAACCCGCGGACGGCACAUGGUACUGCGAGACUAGAGUAAUGGAGGGGGAACGGGAAUUCUGGGUGGAGCAGGGAAAUGCGAAG